CGUGGUGGAUAACUCUUCGAAAGGAGAGCUAAUACAGCAUAAGACCACGGCUUCGAAAGAAGCUGAGGUCAAAGCGGAGGAUCGUAAGACUUCGCGCUUGGGGAUGAGCCUGCGGCCCAUCAUUUGGGUAGUUGGCGGGGUAAUAGCCCACCAAGGCUUUGAUGGGUAGCUGGUCUGAGAGGAUGAUCAGCCACACUGGAACUGAAACACGGUCCAG
This 217-nucleotide ribosomal RNA is filed under the name uncultured bacterium. Its description in RNAcentral is "partial 16S ribosomal RNA". It matches the Rfam family "Bacterial small subunit ribosomal RNA", at positions 135 to 334 of the family's 1533-position model. The record is from RNAcentral.